GGCAGCCGUGAGUGAGAGUGCGGCUGGAGCGGCGCGGCCGGUCGCUUCCUCACGGCCGAACGGACUGCCGACAGUCGGAGAGGGACUGGGGCGGGUGGGAGGGAGGCAAGUGUGCGAUGGCUCCGAGGGGAGGAGCAGGGAGCCGGGCAGAGCCUGUCACCGCACCUGCAGGUGGCAGAAUCAGGCACUGCGGGACGCGGCCUCGCACCUACUGGCUUACGAUGCGGGCUGCUCCGAGAGGAGCAGGUCACGGUGCCCCUUGUGCCACAGGGGACCGUUCCCAAACCUGCGCAGGUACACAGCGGGAGAGCCGCUGGUGCCAGUGCGGCUGAGCAGGGCCGGGAGAGGCAGUCGUGCUGUCGGAUGCUUCACAGAUGAGCUGAAGUGAAACUAUGUGGAAAUAGUUUUAACUUUUGUAUUGAAAGCUCUGUCUUUAAGACCUGUGGAAUCCCUCAGAACAUAGUAGUAUUUGGCUUCAGAACAAAGUUAAUUGUAAGGACGGACAGGAAAUGAAACUUCUGAGGAAAUUCCAGAUCAACAGGCACACCAGAAAGAACAUAGUAAAUAUUCUACUGUUAUUUCUCUUUUCAGCGUCAGCAUUUAAUAUUAUUUGUAGUUAACUGAAGUAGGUGAGAAAAAUUCUUUACAGAAGUCAGACAAAAGGGGGAGCCCUUCCUACACCCAUCCAGCAUCCAGCUUUUCCCUAUGAUUAGUUUACAAAGACCCUGAUUCAACAAAAUAAUUCCUGCAUAGCAAUAUACUUAAAUGCUUUCCUAAAUAAGCAAGCCUUGUUGGGGGGGUUAAGACAAACAAUUUGUACCAUUACUUUAACUGUUGGUGAUUGUCAGUGUAUUUACAUGACAAAUUCAUGCUGAUGUGGGUUUUUUACAAGACUGGAAGGGAAGUCAAUGAAAAUGUAAAAAUGUCAUUGGAAGCAAAGUAUGGUGAAUUAUAGAAAAAAUACCACCACAACUGUGGUGUGUGAUCAUAUGCCAUUUAUUCAACAGGAUAAUCAUUGAGAGGAAUAAAAUAAAAUAGAUACUAAAAACAUUUCUAAUUUAAAAUACAGUGAACUAUGUUCUAAAGCUAUUGAGCCGUUUGAUAGAACUUACCUGAAGCUAUUUGACAGUUUAAUGUCAAGGGCACCAAUCCACAAACCAAAUCCUAGUACCCGUAAAAAAAAAUGUGCACGCUCUCUGUGCAUAACUCUUGCAGAAUGUGAGACUAUUACACAUACAGUGACAUUGUCUUAUAGCUGGCACUGUUACUGCUGCCUAAAAUUGUGUAACUUAUGCAGUGGUUGGGCCUGUGCUUCCUAUUACCAUGUGGGCAGAACUUCCUCACAAGGAACAAAGCAGAGGGUUUUCUAUUUAAUCACUGCAGUUUUGUUGAUGGCCCCUUGUCUUUGUCCAGUUGUGGAUCAGUUAAGGCAGUAGCAACACUCCCUAUCUGCAUACUGCAGGAUCAGGCCCUAGAUGCUCUUUCUUGGCAUUAACUGUUUCACGCUUCUGUAUAUUUCUGUAGAAAGCUUGUGUUAAUCUGAGAAUCCAGUGGGGAGGUUUUAUGACUGAGAUUAUUAAUUUUUAACUUUAGAUCUGUAACUUGGAUUUGUAGAAUUAAGUCUAUAUGUACAAUAUACAGACUUUCCAUUUUAAUGUAUUUAUACUGUUAUGCAUACUGUGUAUGUUUGUAUGUGUGUAUAUAUAAAUAUAUAUGCAGUAAAACUCUA
This is a long non-coding RNA of Pezoporus occidentalis (night parrot), 1729 nucleotides long. RefSeq lists it as uncharacterized. The record is from RefSeq and is a predicted model, not a curated record. The transcript is spliced from 2 exons. Lineage: Eukaryota; Metazoa; Chordata; Aves; Psittaciformes; Psittacidae.